This 433-nucleotide ribosomal RNA is filed under the name uncultured bacterium. RNAcentral describes it as "partial 16S ribosomal RNA". It matches the Rfam family "Bacterial small subunit ribosomal RNA", at positions 29 to 507 of the family's 1533-position model. The record is from RNAcentral.
AACGAACGCUGGCGGCAUGCCUAACACAUGCAAGUCGAACGAGACCUUCGGGUCUAGUGGCGCAAGGGUGCGUAACGCGUGGGAACCUGCCCUUAGGUUCGGAAUAACUCCCCGAAAGGGGUGCUAAUACCGGAAAAUGUCUUCGGACCACAGAUUUAUCGCCUUUGGAUGGGCCCGCGUUGGAUUAGCUAGUUGGUAGGGUAAAAGCCUACCAAGGCGACGAUCCAUAGCUGGUCUGAGAGGAUGAUCAGCCACACUGGGACUGAGACACGGCCCAGACUCCUACGGGAGGCAGCAGUGGGGAAUAUUGGACAAUGGGCGAAAGCCUGAUCCAGCAAUGCCGCGUGAGUGAUGAAGGCCUUAGGGUUGUAAAGCUCUUUUACCCGGGAUGAUAAUGACAGUACCGGGAGAAUAAGCUCCGGCUAACUCCGUG